Molecule: long non-coding RNA, 558 nt
Filed under: Chinchilla lanigera (long-tailed chinchilla)
Lineage: Eukaryota; Metazoa; Chordata; Mammalia; Rodentia; Chinchillidae
Description: lncRNA (ENSCLAG00000023319.1)
Source: RNAcentral
GGUGACUGUGAUUACGAUUGUCUAUCAGAGAGAGAGACAUUCAUCAACAAACUGCACACAAAGGCGUCUUCAGCUGUGCGGCUUGCUUUUCAGCACGGGUCUUACUGCGUUCAGGACAGGGAGGCGGAAAGCGGCGAAAGACAAGAAAGCAGGCUACGAGGCCGAGUCCUGAUUUAUUGCAAGUUCUACGAAUGACUUUUUUCCAGCUCUCUGUUAGAGAAACAUCACAUCUUUACCCCUAUCUGCAAGGAACUCUACAAAGUGUACCUAUAACUUUAGCGGUCACAGUGCCCUUUUAGAAAAGAGGGAUGCACGUGAAAAUCACACUGAGGUACCUUUUUCGGUUUACUGAUUCAGAUUGCCAAAAUCACAAUGCUUGAUAACUCUGUGUUGAAAAGGAUAAGAGUAAAAAGAGGACACUCCUGUAGGAGUGUGAAUUUCUACAAUCUCUAUGAAGGGCAUUUAACAAAAUCUAUCCCACUUGUAAGUGCCUAUGCCCUUUGACUGAGCCGUCCCAUGCCCAGGUUUUUAUGAUAUUAUAUCAUACGUACAUGCUCA